GGGUUGUGAGGUUAAGCGACUAAGCGUACACGGUGGAUGCCCUGGCAGUCAGAGGCGAUGAAGGACGUGCUAAUCUGCGAUAAGCGCCGGUAAGGUGAUAUGAACCGUUAUAACCGGCGAUUUCCGAAUGGGGAAACCCAGUGUGAUUCGUCACACUAUCAUUAACUGAAUCCAUAGGUUAAUGAGGCGAACCGGGGGAACUGAAACAUCUAAGUACCCCGAGGAAAAGAAAUCAACCGAGAUUCCCCCAGUAGCGGCGAGCGAACGGGGAGGAGCCCAGAGCCUGAAUCAGCAUGUGUGUUAGUGGAAGCGUCUGGAAAGGCGCGCGAUACAGGGUGACAGCCCCGUACACAAAAGCGCAUGUGCUGUGAGCUCGAUGAGUAGGGCGGGACACGUGGUAUCCUGUCUGAAUAUGGGGGGACCAUCCUCCAAGGCUAAAUACUCCUGACUGACCGAUAGUGAACCAGUACCGUGAGGGAAAGGCGAAAAGAACCCCGGCGAGGGGAGUGAAAAAGAACCUGAAACCGUGUACGUACAAGCAGUGGGAGCCCCACCACUAAGCCAGUGGUGAACUCCACAUACGCAUCCUUUGCUGAGGAUACGGUUAACGGAGCGAAAGCGACGUUCAACCGCAAAAGAAGCAGAGGGGGCUUAGUGGUGGGGUGACUGCGUACCUUUUGUAUAAUGGGUCAGCGACUUAUAUUCUGUAGCAAGGUUAACCGUAUAGGGGAGCCGGAGGGAAACCGAGUCUUAACCGGGCGUUAAGUUGCAGGGUAUAGACCCGAAACCCGGUGAUCUAGCCAUGGGCAGGUUGAAGGUUGGGUAACACUAACUGGAGGACCGAACCGACUAAUGUUGAAAAAUUAGCGGAUGACCUGUGGCUGGGGGUGAAAGGCCAAUCAAACCGGGAGAUAGCUGGUUCUCCCCGAAAGCUAUUUAGGUAGCGCCUCGUGAAUUCAUCUCCGGGGGUAGAGCACUGUUUCGGCUAGGGGGCCAUCCCGGCUUACCAACCCGAUGCAAACUGCGAAUACCGGAGAAUGUUAUCACGGGAGACACACGGCGGGUGCUAACGUCCGUCGUGAAGAGGGAAACAACCCAGACCGCCAGCUAAGGUCCCAAAGUCAUGGUUAAGUGGGAAACGAUGUGGGAAGGCCCAGACAGCCAGGAUGUUGGCUUAGAAGCAGCCAUCAUUUAAAGAAAGCGUAAUAGCUCACUGGUCGAGUCGGCCUGCGCGGAAGAUGUAACGGGGCUAAACCAUGCACCGAAGCUGCGGCAGCGACACUCAGGUGUUGUUGGGUAGGGGAGCGUUCUGUAAGCCUGUGAAGGUGGCCUGUGAGGGUUGCUGGAGGUAUCAGAAGUGCGAAUGCUGACAUAAGUAACGAUAAAGCGGGUGAAAAGCCCGCUCGCCGGAAGACCAAGGGUUCCUGUCCAACGUUAAUCGGGGCAGGGUGAGUCGACCCCUAAGGCGAGGCCGAAAGGCGUAGUCGAUGGGAAACGGGUUAAUAUUCCCGUACUUGGUGUUACUGCGAAGGGGGGACGGAGAAGGCUAUGUUGGCCGGGCGACGGUUGUCCCGGUUUAAGCGUGUAGGUGUGUGUUCCAGGUAAAUCCGGUUCACUUUAACACUGAGGCGUGACGACGAGGCACUACGGUGCUGAAGCAACAAAUGCCCUGCUUCCAGGAAAAGCCUCUAAGCAUCAGGUAACAUCAAAUCGUACCCCAAACCGACACAGGUGGUCAGGUAGAGAAUACCAAGGCGCUUGAGAGAACUCGGGUGAAGGAACUAGGCAAAAUGGUGCCGUAACUUCGGGAGAAGGCACGCUGACACGUAGGUGAAGUGAUUUACUCAUGGAGCUGAAGUCAGUCGAAGAUACCAGCUGGCUGCAACUGUUUAUUAAAAACACAGCACUGUGCAAACACGAAAGUGGACGUAUACGGUGUGACGCCUGCCCGGUGCCGGAAGGUUAAUUGAUGGGGUCAGCGCAAGCGAAGCUCCUGAUCGAAGCCCCGGUAAACGGCGGCCGUAACUAUAACGGUCCUAAGGUAGCGAAAUUCCUUGUCGGGUAAGUUCCGACCUGCACGAAUGGCGUAAUGAUGGCCAGGCUGUCUCCACCCGAGACUCAGUGAAAUUGAACUCGCUGUGAAGAUGCAGUGUACCCGCGGCAAGACGGAAAGACCCCGUGAACCUUUACUAUAGCUUGACACUGAACAUUGAGCCUUGAUGUGUAGGAUAGGUGGGAGGCUUUGAAGUGUGGACGCCAGUCUGCAUGGAGCCGACCUUGAAAUACCACCCUUUAAUGUUUGAUGUUCUAACGUGGACCCGUUACCCGGGUUGCGGACAGUGUCUGGUGGGUAGUUUGACUGGGGCGGUCUCCUCCUAAAGAGUAACGGAGGAGCACGAAGGUUGGCUAAUCCUGGUCGGACAUCAGGAGGUUAGUGCAAUGGCAUAAGCCAGCUUGACUGCGAGCGUGACGGCGCGAGCAGGUGCGAAAGCAGGUCAUAGUGAUCCGGUGGUUCUGAAUGGAAGGGCCAUCGCUCAACGGAUAAAAGGUACUCCGGGGAUAACAGGCUGAUACCGCCCAAGAGUUCAUAUCGACGGCGGUGUUUGGCACCUCGAUGUCGGCUCAUCACAUCCUGGGGCUGAAGUAGGUCCCAAGGGUAUGGCUGUUCGCCAUUUAAAGUGGUACGCGAGCUGGGUUUAGAACGUCGUGAGACAGUUCGGUCCCUAUCUGCCGUGGGCGCUGGAGAACUGAGGGGGGCUGCUCCUAGUACGAGAGGACCGGAGUGGACGCAUCACUGGUGUUCGGGUUGUCAUGCCAAUGGCACUGCCCGGUAGCUAAAUGCGGAAGAGAUAAGUGCUGAAAGCAUCUAAGCACGAAACUUGCCCCGAGAUGAGUUCUCCCUGAGACUUUAGGUCUCCUGAAGGAACGUUGAAGACGACGACGUUGAUAGGCCGGGUGUGUAAGCGCAGCGAUGCGUUGAGCUAACCGGUACUAAUGAACCGUGAGGCUUAACCUUACAACGCCGAAG
This 3028-nucleotide ribosomal RNA is filed under the name Salmonella enterica subsp. enterica. Its description in RNAcentral is "bacterial LSU rRNA". It matches the Rfam family "Bacterial large subunit ribosomal RNA". Lineage: Bacteria; Pseudomonadati; Pseudomonadota; Gammaproteobacteria; Enterobacterales; Enterobacteriaceae. The record is from RNAcentral.